AUUGAACGCUGGCGGCAGGCCUAACACAUGCAAGUCGAACGAGUGGCGGACGGGUGAGUAAUGUCUGGGAAACUGCCUGAUGGAGGGGGAUAACUACUGGAAACGGUAGCUAAUACCGCAUACAAUAGAUGUUGCCAGAAUGGGUUGAGCUAGUUGGUGGGGUAACGGCUCCCAAAGGCGACGAUCCCUAGCUGGUCUGAGAGGAUGACCAGCCACACUGGAACUGAGACACGGUCCAGACUCCUACGGGAGGCAGCAGUGGGGAAUAUUGCACAAUGGGCGCAAGCCUGAUGCAGCCAUGCCGCGUGUAUGAAGAAGGCCUUCGGGUUGUAAAGUACUUUCAGCGGGGAGGCGUUACCCGCAGAAGAAGCACCGGCUAACUCCGUGCCAGCAGCCGCGGUAAUAC
This 406-nucleotide ribosomal RNA is filed under the name uncultured bacterium. RNAcentral describes it as "partial 16S ribosomal RNA". It matches the Rfam family "Bacterial small subunit ribosomal RNA", at positions 30 to 526 of the family's 1533-position model. The record is from RNAcentral.